This 690-nucleotide long non-coding RNA is filed under the name Calidris pugnax (ruff). RNAcentral's name for it is "lncRNA (ENSCPUG00000001165.1)". Lineage: Eukaryota; Metazoa; Chordata; Aves; Charadriiformes; Scolopacidae. The record is from RNAcentral.
CUUAGGGGAAGGUUGAUUUAAUCUGAAAGCGCAAACACUUCCAACUGGAUAUGCUUACGUCCCAGCUCACACAAGCACACUCUUUAUUCCCUGGCAGUGAAGAAUACGCGAUGAAACAAAGAUUUCUCUGACGUCGGCAUUGUAGAGCCCCCUUUCUUCCUUCUCUCCUUCUCUCCCCUACCCUUCAGUUUUGGAUUCAGGGAUCAGAGAGGUUCAGUUUGGGGAUUGAAUUACAAUGUUGUCACUAUUUUGGAAAGGAAAAUGCUGGCUGAGAAUGUGAAACCCUUUUUUCUCCCAUUUUGCGUGGGCAGAAGCCAGAGCAGAAAAUCCUAAGAUGCAAAAUGAACAUACCAAAAUCAACCUCAAGAGAGGUCUGCAGAACAUCCAAGAGCAGAGUCAACUCCCAGAUCUACCUGCUUCCUGUGCAUGCGGACUCCUGCAUACAAAGUCUCACACGUGCUGUUCCAGAUCACGUUUAUAGCAAGCAGGACCUCAGACCGAAGGAAAUAAAGCGUCAAGUUUGAGCUCUGAUGUUUCAUUGAUUUAGCCCAGUUCACAGAAGCCCAAUAAGUCUGAGUUUGUUCACACAGCUGGUAAGCUAUAAACUCUUUCUCCUGUAGCAAACUUCUCUCCUCCUUCCCAAGAGCUGGGAGAGGGGACUCGGGGUGUGCUGGUGUUGGGGAGGGAGAA